RNAcentral lists this ribosomal RNA (364 nucleotides) under Cytobacillus firmus. Its description in RNAcentral is "bacterial SSU rRNA". It matches the Rfam family "Bacterial small subunit ribosomal RNA", at positions 1 to 352 of the family's 1533-position model. The record is from RNAcentral. Lineage: Bacteria; Bacillati; Bacillota; Bacilli; Caryophanales; Bacillaceae.
UUAUAUGGAGAGUUUGAUCCUGGCUCAGGACGAACGCUGGCGGCGUGCCUAAUACAUGCAAGUCGAGCGGACGGAUGGGAGCUUGCUCCCAGACCGUCAGCGGCGGACGGGUGAGUAACACGUGGGCAACCUGCCUGUAAGACUGGGAUAACUCCGGGAAACCGGGGCUAAUACCGGAUAAUUCUUUUCCUCACAUGAGGAAAAGCUGAAAGAUGGCAUCUCGCUAUCACUUACAGAUGGGCCCGCGGCGCAUUAGCUAGUUGGUGAGGUAACGGCUCACCAAGGCGACGAUGCGUAGCCGACCUGAGAGGGUGAUCGGCCACACUGGGACUGAGACACGGCCCAGACUCCUACGGGAGGCAGC